Molecule: ribosomal RNA, 253 nt
Filed under: uncultured bacterium
Lineage: Bacteria
Description: partial 16S ribosomal RNA
Rfam family: Bacterial small subunit ribosomal RNA
Source: RNAcentral
UACGAAGGGGGCUAGCGUUGCUCGGAAUCACUGGGCGUAAAGGGUGCGUAGGCGGGUCUUUAAGUCAGGGGUGAAAUCCUGGAGCUCAACUCCAGAACUGCCUUUGAUACUGAGGAUCUUGAGUCCGGGAGAGGUGAGUGGAACUGCGAGUGUAGAGGUGAAAUUCGUAGAUAUUCGCAAGAACACCAGUGGCGAAGGCGGCUCACUGGCCCGGUACUGACGCUGAGGCACGAGAGCGUGGGGAGCAAACAGG